Molecule: ribosomal RNA, 391 nt
Filed under: uncultured Gammaproteobacteria bacterium
Lineage: Bacteria; Pseudomonadati; Pseudomonadota; Gammaproteobacteria
Description: bacterial SSU rRNA
Rfam family: Bacterial small subunit ribosomal RNA
Source: RNAcentral
UGCAUAGGAAUCUGCCCGAUAGUGGGGGAUAACCUGGGGAAACCCAGGCUAAUACCGCAUACGUCCUACGGGAGAAAGGGGGCUUCGGCUCCCGCUAUUGGAUGAGCCUAUGUCGGAUUAGCUAGUUGGUGAGGUAAAGGCUCACCAAGGCGACGAUCCGUAGCUGGUCUGAGAGGAUGAUCGGCCACAUCGGGACUGAGACACGGCCCGAACUCCUACGGGAGGCAGCAGUGGGGAAUAUUGGACAAUGGGCGAAAGCCUGAUCCAGCCAUGCCGCGUGUGUGAAGAAGGCCCUCGGGUUGUAAAGCACUUUCAGCGAGGAAGAACGCCUAGUGGUUAAUACCCAUUAGGAAAGACAUCACUCGCAGAAGAAGCACCGGCUAACUCCGUG